This 468-nucleotide ribosomal RNA is filed under the name uncultured bacterium. Its description in RNAcentral is "partial 16S ribosomal RNA". It matches the Rfam family "Bacterial small subunit ribosomal RNA", at positions 28 to 507 of the family's 1533-position model. The record is from RNAcentral.
GACGAACGCUGGCGGCGUGCUUAACACAUGCAAGUCGAACGGAAAGGCCCUGCUUUUGUGGGGUGCUCGAGUGGCGAACGGGUGAGUAACACGUGAGUAACCUGCCCUUGACUUUGGGAUAACUUCAGGAAACUGGGGCUAAUACCGGAUAGGAGCUCCUGCUGCAUGGUGGGGGUUGGAAGGUUUCGGCGGUUGGGGAUGGACUCGCGGCUUAUCAGCUUGUUGGUGGGGUAGUGGCUUACCAAGGCUUUGACGGGUAGCCGGCCUGAGAGGGUGACCGGCCACAUUGGGACUGAGGUACGGCCCAGACUCCUACGGGAGGCAGCAGUGGGGAAUAUUGCACAAUGGGCGGAAGCCUGAUGCAGCAACGCCGCGUGCGGGAUGACGGCCUUCGGGUUGUAAACCGCUUUCGCCUGUGACGAAGCGUGAGUGACGGUAAUGGGUAAAGAAGCACCGGCUAACUACGUG